RNAcentral lists this ribosomal RNA (500 nucleotides) under uncultured bacterium. RNAcentral's name for it is "partial 16S ribosomal RNA". It matches the Rfam family "Bacterial small subunit ribosomal RNA", at positions 30 to 523 of the family's 1533-position model. The record is from RNAcentral.
AUUGAACGCUGGCGGAAUACUUUACACAUGUAAGUCGAACGGCAGCACGGACUUCGGCCUGGUGGCGAGUGGCGAACGGGUGAGUAAUGUAUCGGAACGUGCCCAGUCGUGGGGGAUAACGUAGUGAAAAUUACGCUAAUACCGCAUACGAACUAUGGAUGAAAGCGGGGGAUCGCAAGACCACGCGCGAUUGGAGCGGCCGGUAUCAGAUUAGGUAGUUGGUGGGGUAAAGGCCCACCAAGCCAACUAUCUGUAGCUGGUCUGAGAGGACGACCAGCCACACUGGAACUGAGACACGGUCCAGACUCCUACGGGAGGCAGCAGUGGGGAAUUUUGGACAAUGGGCGAAAGCCUGAUCCAGCCAUUCCGCGUGCAGGAUGAAGGCCCUCGGGUUGUAAACUGCUUUUGUACAGAACGAAAAGGUUUCUACUAAUACUAGGAGCUCAUGACGGUACUGUAAGAAUAAGCACCGGCUAACUACGUGCCAGCCGCCGCAGUAA